This 491-nucleotide ribosomal RNA is filed under the name uncultured bacterium. Its description in RNAcentral is "partial 16S ribosomal RNA". It matches the Rfam family "Bacterial small subunit ribosomal RNA", at positions 30 to 508 of the family's 1533-position model. The record is from RNAcentral.
AUUGAACGCUGGCGGCAGGCCUAACACAUGCAAGUCGAACGGUAACAGGAAGCAGCUUGCUGCUUCGCUGACGAGUGGCGGACGGGUGAGUAAUGUCUGGGAAGCUGCCUGAUGGAGGGGGAUAACUACUGGAAACGGUAGCUAAUACCGCAUAAUGUCGCAAGACCAAAGAGGGGGACCUUCGGGCCUCUUGCCAUCGGAUGUGCCCAGAUGGGAUUAGCUUGUUGGUGGGGUAACGGCUCACCAAGGCGACGAUCCCUAGCUGGUCUGAGAGGAUGACCAGCCACACUGGAACUGAGACACGGUCCAGACUCCUACGGGAGGCAGCAGUGGGGAAUAUUGCACAAUGGGCGCAAGCCUGAUGCAGCCAUGCCGCGUGUAUGAAGAAGGCCUUCGGGUUGUAAAGUACUUUCAGCGGGGAGGAAGGGAGUAAAGUUAAUACCUUUGCUCAUUGACGUUACCCGCAGAAGAAGCACCGGCUAACUCCGUGC